RNAcentral lists this ribosomal RNA (253 nucleotides) under uncultured bacterium. Its description in RNAcentral is "partial 16S ribosomal RNA". It matches the Rfam family "Bacterial small subunit ribosomal RNA", at positions 524 to 776 of the family's 1533-position model. The record is from RNAcentral.
UACAGAGGGUGCGAGCGUUAAUCGGAAUUACUGGGCGUAAAGCGCGCGUAGGCGGCUUUGCAAGUCGGGUGUGAAAUCCCCAGGCUUAACCUGGGAACUGCAUUCGAGACUGCAUUGCUAGAGUAUGGGAGAGGGAAGUGGAAUUUCAGGUGUAGCGGUGAAAUGCGUAGAUAUCUGGAGGAACACCGGUGGCGAAGGCGGCGUCCUGGACCAACACUGACACUGAGGAGCGAAAGCCAGGGGAGCAAACGGG